This 301-nucleotide ribosomal RNA is filed under the name uncultured bacterium. RNAcentral describes it as "partial 16S ribosomal RNA". It matches the Rfam family "Bacterial small subunit ribosomal RNA", at positions 509 to 807 of the family's 1533-position model. The record is from RNAcentral.
CAGUCGCCGCGGGAAUACGAAGGGUGCAAGCGUUAAUCGGAAUUACUGGGCGUAAAGCGUGCGUAGGCGGUGAGUUAAGUCUGCUGUGAAAUCCCCGGGCUCAACCUGGGAAUGGCGAUGGAUACUGGCUGGCUAGAGUGUGUCAGAGGAUGGUGGAAUUUCCGGUGUAGUGGUGAAAUGCGUAGAGAUCGGAAGGAACAUCAGUGGCGAAGGCGGCCAUCUGGGACAACACUGACGCUGAAGCACGAAAGCGUGGGAAGCAAACAGGAUUAGAUACCCGAGUAGUCCCUGUCUCUUAUAC